AUUACUGAGUUUACGCUCUACAACCCUUUGUGAACAUACCUAUAACUGUUGCUUCGGCGGGUAGGGUCUCCGUGACCCUCCCGGCCUCCCGCCCCCGGGCGGGUCGGCGCCCGCCGGAGGAUAACCAAACUCUGAUUUAACGACGUUUCUUCUGAGUGGUACAAGCAAAUAAUCAAAACUUUUAACAACGGAUCUCUUGGUUCUGGCAUCGAUGAAGAACGCAGCGAAAUGCGAUAAGUAAUGUGAAUUGCAGAAUUCAGUGAAUCAUCGAAUCUUUGAACGCACAUUGCGCCCGCCAGCAUUCUGGCGGGCAUGCCUGUUCGAGCGUCAUUUCAACCCUCAAGCUCUGCUUGGUGUUGGGGCCCUACAGCUGAUGUAGGCCCUCAAAGGUAGUGGCGGACCCUCCCGGAGCCUCCUUUGCGUAGUAACUUUACGUCUCGCACUGGGAUCCGGAGGGACUCUUGCCGUAAAACCCCCCAAUUUUCCAAAGGUUGACCUCGGAUCAGGUAGGAAUACCCGCUGAACUUAAGCAUAUCAAUAAGCGGAGGAAAAGAAACCAACAGGGAUUGCCUCAGUAACGGCGAGUGAAGCGGCAACAGCUCAAAUUUGAAAUCUGGCCCUAGGCCCGAGUUGUAAUUUGCAGAGGAUGCUUUUGGUGCGGUGCCUUCCAAGUUCCCUAGAACGGGACGCCAGAGAGGGUGAGAGCCCCGUACAGUUGGACACCAAGCCUUUGUAAAGCUCCUUCGACGAGUCGAGUAGUUUGGGAAUGCUGCUCAAAAUGGGAGGUAUAUUUCUUCUAAAGCUAAAUACCGGCCAGAGACCGAUAGCGCACAAGUAGAGUGAUCGAAAGAUGAAAAGCACUUUGAAAAGAGGGUUAAACAGCACGUGAAAUUGUUAAAAGGGAAGCGCUUGUGACCAGACUUGCGUCCGGUGAAUCACCCAGCUCUCGCGGCUGGGGCACUUCGCCGGCUCAGGCCAGCAUCAGCUCGCUGUCGGGGACAAAAGCUUCAGGAACGUAGCUCUCUUCGGGGAGUGUUAUAGCCUGUUGCAUAAUAC
Molecule: ribosomal RNA, 1056 nt
Filed under: fungal sp.
Lineage: Eukaryota; Fungi
Description: eukaryotic LSU rRNA
Rfam family: Eukaryotic large subunit ribosomal RNA (bases 493-1056)
Source: RNAcentral